This 440-nucleotide ribosomal RNA is filed under the name uncultured bacterium. RNAcentral's name for it is "partial 16S ribosomal RNA". It matches the Rfam family "Bacterial small subunit ribosomal RNA", at positions 338 to 795 of the family's 1533-position model. The record is from RNAcentral.
CCUACGGGUGGCAGCAGUAGGGAAUAUUGCUCAAUGGGGGAAACCCUGAAGCAGCAACGCCGCGUGGAGGAUGAAGGUUUUCGGAUUGUAAACUCCUUUUGUUAGAGAAGAUAAUGACGGUAUCUAACGAAUAAGCACCGGCUAACUCCGUUCCAGCAGCCGCGGUAAUACGGAGGGUGCAAGCGUUACUCGGAAUCAAUGGGCGUAAAGAGCGCGUAGGCGGGAUAGCAAGUCAGAUGUGAAAUCCUAUGGCUUAACCAUAGAACUGCAGUUGAAACUGUUAUUCUAGAGUAUGGGAGAGGUAGGUGGAAUGCUUGGUGUAGGGGUAAAAUGCGUAGAGAUCAAGAGGAAUACUCAUUGCGAAGGCGACCUGCUAGAACAUAACUGACGCUGAUGCGCGAAAGCGUGGGGAGCAAACAGGAUUAGAUACCCCAGUAGUC